UGGGGGAUAUUGCACAAUGGGGGAAACCCUGAUGCAGCGACGCCGCGUGGAGGAAGAAGGUUUUCGGAUUGUAAACUCCUGUCGUUAGGGACGAUAAUGACGGUACCUAACAAGAAAGCACCGGCUAACUACGUGCCAGCAGCCGCGGUAAAACGUAGGGUGCAAGCGUUGUCCGGAAUUACUGGGUGUAAAGGGAGCGCAGGCGGACCGGCAAGUUGGAAGUGAAAACUAUGGGCUCAACCCAUAAAUUGCUUUCAAAACUGCUGGCCUUGAGUAGUGCAGAGGUAGGUGGAAUUCCCGGUGUAGCGGUGGAAUGCGUAGAUAUCGGGAGGAACACCAGUGGCGAAGGCGACCUACUGGGCACCAACUGACGCUGAGGCUCGAAAGCAUGGGUAGCAAACA
Molecule: ribosomal RNA, 402 nt
Filed under: uncultured bacterium
Lineage: Bacteria
Also listed under: 1 other name
Description: bacterial SSU rRNA
Rfam family: Bacterial small subunit ribosomal RNA
Source: RNAcentral